RNAcentral lists this ribosomal RNA (497 nucleotides) under uncultured bacterium. RNAcentral describes it as "partial 16S ribosomal RNA". It matches the Rfam family "Bacterial small subunit ribosomal RNA", at positions 30 to 523 of the family's 1533-position model. The record is from RNAcentral.
AUUGAACGCUGGCGGCAUGCCUUACACAUGCAAGUCGAACGGCAGCACGGAGCAACCUGGUGGCGAGUGGCGAACGGGUGAGUAAUGUAUCGGAACGUACCAUUGAGUGGGGGAUAACGUAGCGAAAGUUACGCUAAUACCGCAUAUUCUCUCCGGAGGAAAGCAGGGGACCGCAAGGCCUUACGCUCUUUGAGCGGCCGAUAUCAGAUUAGCGAGUUGGUGAGGUAAAGGCUCACCAAGGCGACGAGCUGUAGCGGGUCUGAGAGGAUGAUCGGCCACACGGGAACUGAGACCCGGUCCAGACUCCUACGGGGGGCAGCAGUGGGGAAUUUUGGACAAUGGGGGCAACCCUGAUCCAGCCAGGCCGCGUGAGUGAAGAAGGCCUUCGGGUUGUAAGGCUCUUUCGGCCGGGAAAAAAUCGCAUGGGCUAAUACCCUGUGUGAUGAUGGUACCGGAAUAAGAAGCACCGGCUAACUACGUGCCAGCAGCCGCAGUAA